RNAcentral lists this non-coding RNA (84 nucleotides) under unclassified sequences. RNAcentral's name for it is "freshwater-2 RNA". It matches the Rfam family "freshwater-2 RNA". From Rfam's summary of the family: Aquatic, esp. fresh water. No recognized genes The record is from RNAcentral.
UUAGGCAAAAUUGCUUAACUUAUGCGGUCACCCGCCGCGUAGUCCCUAGAACGGACAUUGGACUCCUAAAAGGAGAAAACAAUG